GUAAGGAAUAUUGGACAAUGGACGCAAGUCUGAUCCAGCCAUGCCGCGUGAAGGAUUAAGGUCCUCUGGAUUGUAAACUUCUUUUAUAAGGGACGAAAAAAGGCUUUUCUAAGUCGUCUGACGGUACCUUAUGAAUAAGCACCGGCUAACUCCGUGCCAGCAGCCGCGGUAAUACGGAGGGUGCAAGCGUUAUCCGGCUUCACUGGGUUUAAAGGGUGCGUAGGCGGGCAGGUAAGUCAGUGGUGAAAUCCAGGAGCUUAACUCUAGAACUGCCAUUGAUACUAUCUGUCUUGAAUAUUGUGGAGGUAAGCGGAAUAUGUCAUGUAGCGGUGAAAUGCUUAGAUAUGACAUAGAACACCUAUUGCGAAGGCAGCUUACUACGCAUAUAUUGACGCUGAGGCACGAAAGCGUGGGGAUCAAACAGGAUUAGAAACCCCUGUAGUCC
This 445-nucleotide ribosomal RNA is filed under the name uncultured bacterium. RNAcentral's name for it is "partial 16S ribosomal RNA". It matches the Rfam family "Bacterial small subunit ribosomal RNA", at positions 354 to 796 of the family's 1533-position model. The record is from RNAcentral.